RNAcentral lists this transfer RNA (73 nucleotides) under Chloroflexota bacterium. RNAcentral's name for it is "Chloroflexi bacterium tRNA-Asn". It matches the Rfam family "tRNA". Rfam says of the family: Transfer RNA (tRNA) molecules are approximately 80 nucleotides in length. Their secondary structure includes four short double-helical elements and three loops (D, anti-codon, and T loops). Further hydrogen bonds mediate the characteristic L-shaped molecular structure. tRNAs have two regions of fundamental functional importance: the anti-codon, which is responsible for specific mRNA codon recognition, and the 3' end, to which the tRNAs corresponding amino acid is attached (by aminoacyl-tRNA synthetases). tRNAs cope with the degeneracy of the genetic code in two manners: having more than one tRNA (with a specific anti-codon) for a particular amino acid; and 'wobble' base-pairing, i.e. permitting non-standard base-pairing at the 3rd anti-codon position. Lineage: Bacteria; Bacillati; Chloroflexota. The record is from RNAcentral.
UCCGUAGUAGCUCAAUUGGCAGAGCGGUAGGCUGUUAACCGAUAGGUUCUAGGUUCAAGUCCUAGCUACGGAG